RNAcentral lists this ribosomal RNA (465 nucleotides) under Vreelandella stevensii. RNAcentral's name for it is "partial 16S ribosomal RNA". It matches the Rfam family "Bacterial small subunit ribosomal RNA", at positions 338 to 795 of the family's 1533-position model. Lineage: Bacteria; Pseudomonadati; Pseudomonadota; Gammaproteobacteria; Oceanospirillales; Halomonadaceae. The record is from RNAcentral.
CCUACGGGUGGCUGCAGUGGGGAAUAUUGGACAAUGGGCGAAAGCCUGAUCCAGCCAUGCCGCGUGUGUGAAGAAGGCCUUCGGGUUGUAAAGCACUUUCAGUGGGGAAGAAAGCCUUGGGGCUAAUACCCUCGAGGAAGGACAUCACCCACAGAAGAAGCACCGGCUAACUCCGUGCCAGCAGCCGCGGUAAUACGGAGGGUGCGAGCGUUAAUCGGAAUUACUGGGCGUAAAGCGCGCGUAGGCGGUCUGAUAAGCCGGUUGUGAAAGCCCCGGGCUCAACCUGGGAACGGCAUCCGGAACUGUCAGGCUAGAGUGCAGGAGAGGAAGGUAGAAUUCCCGGUGUAGCGGUGAAAUGCGUAGAGAUCGGGAGGAAUAGCAGUGGCGAAGGCGGCCUUCUGGACUGACACUGACGCUGAGGUGCGAAAGCGUGGGUAGCAAACAGGAUUAGAUACCCGAGUAGUC